Molecule: long non-coding RNA, 767 nt
Organism: Magnolia sinica
Lineage: Eukaryota; Viridiplantae; Streptophyta; Magnoliopsida; Magnoliales; Magnoliaceae
Exons: 3
Source: RefSeq, a predicted model, not a curated record
UGGGCCAGCCCACUUUUAACCCUUGAAAACCUUGAAUUCACUCCUUCAGCAAAGAGCCGUGGAUUCUACAAAACACCAGUCUCAGGAUGGAGAUAGAAGGAGCAGAAGGCAAGGGCAAAAGCGUAAUUUUCAUCGAAUACAACUGCUUCGAUUUCCACUUCAAUCUUUCCAUCACAGACGGAUUCAAUGCUUGAACUUGCAAUGCUUUAGAAUUGGAGGCCUCCAAGAGGGAAGAUCAGUGGGACCAGCCAGUUAUGGAAUACAUCGAGGCUGCUGAAGGAUAUCUCGAGUAUCAACAGCCAGGUUCAGUGUACCGAUUCAUAGAUGCUGAGAAUGGUGACAUAAGAAAGCAAGGAGUAAAGUUAGAAUGGCGUUGAAGAUGCCAUGCUUCAUCUGAUAGAAAGCAAACUACAACUGGAAUCCUGGAUUUUCUUAUGGAUGCAAAUUACGACUGAGUGUAAGGCCUUUCGUCCUUGAUCGCCAUCCAUCAGUUUUAUUUAGUUUUUUAGUUCAAUUUCCCUCUCUAUGCGUUACCUGAUGCACUGGUUUGUGGGUGAUUGCAUGCAUCCGCAGGGAUUAGUCUCGCCUUAAAAAAAGGGGCUGGGGCACCCUAUUGUCAUUUAAAAAAAUGUUUUCAGCUUUUUGUGUGAACUUCUGUAUUUUUUUUCCUUUUAUGCUCUUUUGAAGUUUGCAUAUAGAGCUUUGCUAAGUCCACAUGCAUGCAGGAGGCAGCUGUACACGCCACACAUGUGCUAGCAUUAGAAAUU